CAAAACAUAGUUUAUUUAAAAUAUUAAUUUUGGAGAUUAAUGAAGGUUUAAAUACCUGUUUUGA
Molecule: transfer RNA, 64 nt
Filed under: Thaumastocoris safordi
Lineage: Eukaryota; Metazoa; Arthropoda; Insecta; Hemiptera; Thaumastocoridae
Description: tRNA-Pro
Source: RNAcentral